RNAcentral lists this non-coding RNA (21 nucleotides) under Mus musculus (house mouse). Lineage: Eukaryota; Metazoa; Chordata; Mammalia; Rodentia; Muridae. The record is from RNAcentral.
CAGACUGUUGAGGAGGAUCCG